Molecule: long non-coding RNA, 524 nt
Filed under: Olea europaea subsp. europaea
Lineage: Eukaryota; Viridiplantae; Streptophyta; Magnoliopsida; Lamiales; Oleaceae
Source: RNAcentral
GUUGUUUCACAUUGUAGAAUGGGCGGUGGAAAUAAUGGAAUCUGUCAUAGCUGUAGAUCGAAUGGGCAUUUCUUUGCCAACAGCCAAUCGCAACGCCUUUGCUCAAAUUGCGAAUAUAGGUUUGAGAAGUGUUUCGUGGUGGAGAAGGAGAUUGAAAAUAAAGGGCGAUUAUUUAUUUGUUGCAGUAAAAACUGUAGAUUUUGGGAUUGGAUUGUCAUAGAACAAUUAAGCGGCCAAUCCUCUAAAGAUAGAACUUCUUCAGAUAACCUUGUCAUGAACGAAAUAUUUGAACAAAUAUCACAGAAUCUCGAAUCUUAAGUUUGCAUCGGCUGAAGGAGAUCUACAUAUUACGGUAAACGUGAAGGUCUGUAAGACAAAAAGAUCACGGAAGUGAAUUCAGAAUGGAAGUGGCCGACCUGAUUAGUACAUAUUAAUCGAAGUACUAGUUAGUCUUUUGUAUGUGGUUGGAAUAUUAUUAGCGAAGAUAUGUGAACAAUGUUAAUCUAUGACGUGAUGGAUGUUUA